UCCCUGGUGGCUCAGAGGUUAAAGCGUCUGCCUCCAAUGCGGGAGACCCGGGUUCGAUUCCUGGAUUGGGAA
RNAcentral lists this transfer RNA (72 nucleotides) under Ovis aries (sheep). It matches the Rfam family "tRNA". From Rfam's summary of the family: Transfer RNA (tRNA) molecules are approximately 80 nucleotides in length. The record is from Rfam by way of RNAcentral. Lineage: Eukaryota; Metazoa; Chordata; Mammalia; Artiodactyla; Bovidae.